CCCCCAGUCCACCCAGCAUGGACAGCAAACGCUCCACCACCCCCCUGUCUGAGGGUUCUCUUUCAGGGCUCCAGUCCCAGACACCCUCUGUCCCAGCUGCUAGGAAGGAGCUGAGAGCUGCAGGCUGCCUACCAGAGGACAAGAGAAGAGUGCUCUGUCAGUUAGCUGCGAUCAGUAGAAAGCUGCGCAGCAAACAGAAACGUGUGAAGGG
Molecule: long non-coding RNA, 211 nt
Organism: Osmerus eperlanus (European smelt)
Lineage: Eukaryota; Metazoa; Chordata; Actinopteri; Osmeriformes; Osmeridae
Exons: 3
Source: RefSeq, a predicted model, not a curated record